AACGCGAAGAACCUUACCUGGGCUCGAACGGCUUAAGAUCAACUUUGGAAACAGAGUCUUCUCGCAAGAGACUUGAGUCGAGGUGCUGCAUGGCUGUCGUCAGCUCGUGUCGUGAGAUGUUGGGUUAAGUCCCGCAACGAGCGCAACCCUUGUCCUGUGUUGCCACUCCCGUAAGGGAAGCACUCUCAGGAGACCGCCAGCGAUAAGUUGGAGGAAGGUGGGGAUGAUGUCAAGUCAUCAUGGCCUUUAUGUCCAGGGCUACACACGUGCUACAAUGGCCGGUACAAACCGCUGCAAACCCGCGAGGGGGAGCUAAUCGGAAAAAACCGGUCUCAGUUCGGAUCGCAGGCUGCAACUCGCCUGCGUGAAGCUGGAAUCGCUAGUAAUGGCGUAUCAGAACGAUGCCGUGAAUACGUUCCCGGGCCUUGUACACACCGCUACAGU
RNAcentral lists this ribosomal RNA (444 nucleotides) under uncultured bacterium. Its description in RNAcentral is "bacterial SSU rRNA". It matches the Rfam family "Bacterial small subunit ribosomal RNA", at positions 958 to 1401 of the family's 1533-position model. The record is from RNAcentral.